UGAACGCUGGCGGCGUGCUUAACACAUGCAAGUCGAACGAGAACGGGCCUAGCUUGCUAGGCUGUCAGCUAAGUGGCGGACGGGUGAGUAAUGUAUAGUUAAUCUGCCCUUUAGAGGGGGAUAACAGUUGGAAACGACUGCUAAUACCCCAUACUCCUUUUACCUUAAUGGUAAUUGGGAAACGUUUUUUCGCUAAAGGAUGAGACUAUAUGGUAUCAGGUAGUUGGUGGGGUAAGAGCCUACCAAGCCAAUGACGCCUAGCUGGUCUGAGAGGAUGAUCAGCCACACUGGAACUGAGACACGGUCCAGACUCCUACGGGAGGCAGCAGUGGGGAAUAUUGCACAAUGGAGGAAACUCUGAUGCAGCAACGCCGCGUGGAGGAUGACGCAUUUCGGUGCGUAAACUCCUUUUAUAUAAGAAGAUAAUGACGGUAUUAUAUGAAUAAGCACCGGCUAACUCC
This 461-nucleotide ribosomal RNA is filed under the name uncultured bacterium. Its description in RNAcentral is "bacterial SSU rRNA". It matches the Rfam family "Bacterial small subunit ribosomal RNA", at positions 30 to 504 of the family's 1533-position model. The record is from RNAcentral.